This 23-nucleotide small nuclear RNA is filed under the name Arabidopsis thaliana (thale cress). RNAcentral's name for it is "snRNA_07487". Lineage: Eukaryota; Viridiplantae; Streptophyta; Magnoliopsida; Brassicales; Brassicaceae. The record is from RNAcentral.
UCCUUUGAAAAACUGCAGAUGUA